This 112-nucleotide ribosomal RNA is filed under the name Panthera pardus (leopard). The record is from RNAcentral. Lineage: Eukaryota; Metazoa; Chordata; Mammalia; Carnivora; Felidae.
GACAUUGGGUAGAGACUGUUAAAGCCACCUGGUCCCAGCAGACCCCAGAAGGCAGCCACAUUCACUGGUGCUGGGGCAAGUUGUUGAGGGUGAAGCCUGGUGUCAGAUGUGU